UUUUUUUUUUUUUUUUUUUUUUUUUUUUGCUUUUUUGCGCUGCACUUACAGCAUAUGGAGGUUCCUAAGCUACUGGCCUAUAGAACAGUUCCAGGCAAUGCUGGAUCCUUAACCCAUUGAAUGAGGCCGGAGAUCAAACCUGCAACCUCAUGGUUUCUAGUUGGAUUCGUUUCCGCUGUACUAUGACGGGAACCCGAGUUUGCAAGUUUCUUAUCCUCCGUAUUCUCUGUGUUUACUCUCCUAGACUCAAAAGAUGUGUGAUUGGUACCCAGGAGUGAUUCUGCAGUACCUAUGCUGUAGAAGUUCUUCUGGCAUCUGUCCAACCAUGCCCACUCCCAGACAAUUGGGAAUUUAUUUAGCUCUUCUCACUUUAUUUUCAAGUUUGCUAAACUUCCAAUUCUCUUUUAAGAUCAAGUGGUUGAGUCAUUGUUAUUUCAUUUGAGGGAACUAAAUUCAACACUAAGACAGGAUUUUAUUUUUGAACAAUUGUAAGUUGUUCAAAGGAGCAGGAGAAAUUGCUGAACUUUGGAAAGUUUCAGGACUAAGUUAACAUUCUUCUUGCCUUCCAAAUAUGGCUUUAUUUUAUCUUCUAAUUAUAAACAUGAAAUAAAUAGUUGAGAUAUAUUUGUAAGCAUUGAACAUUCUUAUGCUCUUAAUUCAGCAUCAUUCAUACAAUCAAGUUCACUUAUGGAUCCAUCUACCUAUCCACCAAUUUUUUAUGCUUAUUUUUUCUGAUUAGGUCUAUAUUAAAUAUGGAAAUCACAAAAUAGAGAAUAAUGUCUCAACUCUAAUGGAUUGAUGGAUUUUUUUUAAAAAAAUCUAGUUGGUUUUAAGAAAUGUAGGAGAAGUAGAAUAUUCUUGAGCUUGAUUACAUUAAAAUUACUAGCACCUAAAAUGUUAAAAAAAAAAAAGAAGAAGAAGUAGGUAAGGAAGUAGUUCUUCUGACAUAUUGUAGAGUUCUUUACAAGUGUUUUUAAUGCUCAGGGAAUGGGCAGAUGAAAUGAAUAAAUGAAACAUCAUCUGGGCACUCACUCUAAAUCCAGAAAGAGCAAAGGGAUCUGGGGAAAUUGUGUUUUCUAGAUUGGGAUAGGUUUUGCUGAGUUCAAGUCAUUUUUGCUUUCUCCCAGUCUCACUCAGGGAUUUUCAGGAUCAGUGAAUUAUUCUCUUUUACCUAGAAGUCAAUCACAAGGGAAGAAACAUGAAAAACUAUGUUUAUUUAGGGAGAAAAUAGCGAGCUCCUCCAGAUGAUCACAUGAACUCAUUUUUUUUUUUUUAAAGACCUAAUACCGUAAAGAAUUCUUUGCCCUCAGUUUAUAUUAAGCUUAGUGACAUUCAAUCUAGGAGACAGAGUGAAAGCUGGGAGUGUCUGAAUUGAAGAGGGUCCUGUGUAUUACUAGUGGAUUACAAUAAAUUCUACCUGAUUUUUUAAAUGUAAAAGCAAUCAAGGCAAUAGAAAUAUUUUGGCUAUGUUGUGUUGUGAAGAAAAAAAAAAAAACAGUGCUAAAAUUUAAUGGCUUAAAACAACAACUCUUUUAUCAUUUCUCAUGAUGACACAAGGAGUGGUAUUUUGUAGUGUCCAAAUGGAUUUUUCACUCACAUGCCUCAGAUGUAUAUGUGGUCCAGAAAGGCUUAACUGUUGAUCGUCUGUCUAGGACUUCCAUUUUCUCUUUCAUUUGGGUUUUUGCGUUCUCCUCCAGUGGUGUCAGGGUUUCUGCUUCUCUAUAUGCUCCCUCCACAUGGGUCUUGGAAUAUAGUAUCUCAAGCACAAUUGUCAUACUUCCUUCAUUGAAGCCUAGGCUUCCAUAAAUGCAAAAGCAGCAGCUCCCAGGCUUUCUUUAGGAGCAAGGACAGUAUCAUUGCCACAAUGGUCUAUUGGUUAAAGAGACUUUCAGGCUCAGCCUUGAUUUAAGGAGAGGGCACUGCACCAAGUCUAAGUACAAUAAGGUAUGACCCAUUGUGAUGCUCCAGUGGAACAGGUCACAAAGCACAAUUCUUAGUUCAUAUUGCCUGGAGUCACAAGUCUAACAUCAAGCUUGCAAAACCCUCAUUUGCCUCCUGUAACAUGUACAGAAGGCGAGAAAGGAAGAUUACCAUAUAACCAUUGAUGCUAAUUGCCUAGGGGUGGACUAAGUAUUUAAAAAGUACCCUGGAGAAGAAAGACUAUUUUAUUUGUCAUCUUGAACAUUAAUUGUUUUGAUGGGAAUCACUCUUUUCAGUACCAGAGAACAGAGUGAAUUUCACCAAACUGCCGUGAAUUACCCUCUAGAAUAGAAAUUAUUCCCCUCUGAAGGUAGAAAUAAUUUCUAUUUCAGGAAUGUGUGUGUUUCUGCAAAAUUCUUAUUCUUGGUGCUUAUUUCGCAUAAAACAUCAUAAAAUAAAAGAAGUAAAAGGCAUGCUUAUCCUAACCAAAUCUUAUAUAUUUUAGCUGAGGGCUGAAGACAAAUGCCCAAAGCAAUCUGUACAUCAGAAUACCACCAUUUACAUCUUUUGUUCUCCUGUUUUCUUAUGUAUUAUGCAAGGGCCUACCUAAAAAUGAAUUAAAGGGCAACUGUCAAGAUGAUAGUUUAAAAACAAUCCUUUUUGCAUUGUUUCAUAGAUGUUCAAUGUGUAAUUUUUUUAAAAAAAGACAUUUAAUCAUCUCCUUAUUCAAUUAAUUUACAUUAUCUCAUUGUAUGAUAUUUAAAAAAUGACAGGGCAAUUCAUACUAUUUUUAGAUUUUACUAUCUUUUGCUCUGGGACUAACUCAGUUUUGCAAAUUAGUAUUGGAAGAGAUAGCAAGAAACAUUGCAAAAGAAAAAAAAAACAAAAACCCGAGGAUCUUCAUGUUCAUUACAGAAUAAAUUGUUUUCUUAGUUUUAAAUCCUAUUUUAUUUAUUAUUUUAAUUUCUCAAAUGUGUCUAACCUCCCACAAAGUGGAUUUUUGGGUUUUUUUUUUCUAAUUAUUACCUACAUUUCUAUUUUUCUAUCACAAAAAAAUGGUAUGCACUCUCCAUACAUUUUUAUGCAGCUCUACGGCAUGCAUGAGAUGAAAUAUUUGAAUAGCAUCUGAUGUUGUGUGUGCUUUUCACCCCAGGAGAUUUCUUUAAAGAAAAAGCAGUAGCCAGGAUGUCUCAGUCUCUAUCAGUAUUCACAACGCUUUUCUUUUCAGCUUCAUGCUAAUCCUCAGGUAUAAGAAUUGGAGCCCCCAAACAUGUAUUCUUUGUUUACAUUUUACAGAAUGGUCAAGGAAGAGGAAAAGGAAAAAGAAGAGUGUAGAACUAAGAUUUUGUUAAUAUGAUUGCUUCCCUGGUAUGAAGAUAUUAGAUGUGAAACCAUAGCCAAAAUUAAUAUGAAAGUGCACAUGUGUGUUUGUAUGUAUGUAUGUGUGUGUGUGUGUAUAGCAUCCUCUUUGUUGAAUCAUAAUCAGUACCAUUCUCAGAAAUGCUCACAGGCAAGAAUGCCUAUUCUACUUUGAUACUUUAACAGGCUAAUUCUUUUGAAUUUGCAGCCUUGGAAUGCACGGGUCUUUGUCCAUGUGAUCACUUAUUAUUAAAGAGAACAUAUUUGAUUAUGUUUCUUUAUUAAUAGGGUGACUUUAUGACUUGCCUGAAAACCACAAGAUAAGUCAGAACCACCUUCCCCACCCCCCCGGACCCCCUCACCACAGUUUUUCUGAACUGCUUGGAAUAAUCUAAAGCCCUAUUCAGCUUGCAGCCAGAUGUGAACAAUCACUGCUUGACACGGGGUACAAAUAACACCUACUCCAGCCAUUACUCUUAAAUUGGAGCUGUGCCCUUGAUGGAGGUUGGAGAUUUCUCUGGCUUGUGUAACUUGCACGUGAAAGGCGGUAGGCACAGAGGGAGAAGGAGGCCAGAGUAUUUAGGUGGCAAGCUGUGGGCAGAUCUGGACUUGUCUCCCAAGAGAGUGGUCUCUUUUAAAGUGGAGUGAGGUCACAGGUCACACAGUUCAACCUGAAGGACCGAGUGGACUAAUGUGUUUGGCAGACCAGUUAAAACAAAACAAAGCAAAAAAUAAGAAGAGGAAGGGUCUGAGCUAACUUUGAAACCUAAAUGACCGUUUGUUCUCAUGCUUCAAAACGUUCAGGCAUCUUCCAACCAGCCAAGGCUAAAGCUGUUUAUGGUUCAAAGAUUUGAGAAAAUGGAGUCAUGACAUCUGACCUUGCAUUAGCCAGAAACACAGAUCUGAAUGAAAGAGUCUGGACAGGAGAGGUACUAGUUCCUUGGCCAGCUGCUCUGUGAGAUGCUCAUGGUCAUAUUUUACCAGGAUCCUGAGAUUAUGCUUCAAAAAUAAAACUAACAGCUCUUUUUAAUUCCAAGUACUAUUGACCUUUGUUUUUUUGUGUGCUCUCUCUCUAUUUUUUUAAGUUAGGCUGUAUUCUUUCUUUCCUCCUGGAUGUCUAGUAUUUGUUGUGAGGAAUAACAGCGUGUGCUAUCUGCAGAAAAGGCCCCUGCUGAGUUAAUGUUCAAGACCAAGGCAUUAGCGCUAUAAACAUCAGGGAAACAGGUAGCCUUCCUUAAUACUUUAUUCUUGAGUUAUUUCCUUUUUAUUUACAUUAGCAUUUUUCUUAAUUUUUUUUUUACAAAAGUGAGAUUAUCCUCUCUUUAAAAUCAUCUAACCACCUUAGAGGUAGAGGGAGGAACAUGAAAUGAUUGCAUCUAACAGGGUAAAAAUAAACACAGUCCACAAAUUGUGAUCAAUACUAGUGAAGUUCAUGGCUCAAUGAUUAGAAAAGCAAGAGAAGGAAGGCACAAUAUAUUCUUGAAAAGAGACUCAGGUUACUUAAGAAGGCAUAAAAUGCAUAUAAAAUCCCCCUUCCCUCAUUAAGAAUCAUUUAGCGGAGCAGCAGGAACUCUUAUGCAUUUUUGUUGGGAAUGCACAAUGGUACAGCUACUUUAGAGAAUAGUUUGGCUGUUUCUUACAAAGCUAAACAUACUCUUCCUAUACAGUUCAGCAAGCAGACUCCUUGAUAUUUACUUCAAGGAGUUGAAAUCUAAUAUCCACACAAAAACAUGCACACAGAUGCAUAUAGCAACUGUAUUCAAAAUUCCCAAAAACUUGGAGGAAACCAAGGUGUCCUUCAGUAAGUGAAUGGCUAAAUCAUGGCCCACUUAGACAAUGGAAUUUUAUUCAUUGCUAAAAAGAUAUGAGUUAUCAAACCAUGAAAAGACAUGAAGAAAUUUUAAAUGCAUUUUACUAAGUGAAAAAAGCCAAUCUGAAUAGGCUACCCACUCUAUGAUUCUAACUCUGAAAAAGUUGACAUUCUGGAAAAGGAAAAACUAUGGAGAUAAAUAAAAAGACUGGUGUUUGCCAGAGACAGUGAGUGGGGAGGAGUAAGAGAUGAAUUAGCAGAACAUGGAGGAUUUUUAGGGCAGAGGAAAUACUUUGUAUAAUAGUAUAAUGAUGGAUAUAUGUCAUCAUAAUUUGUCUAAACUCAUAGAAUGUAUAACAAGAAUGAACUGUGAUGCAAACUAUGGAUUUGGGGUAAUUAUGAGGUGUCAUUGUAAGUUAAUGAAUUGUGACGUUUUAUAACUAAGUUGGGUGAUGUUGAUUAUGGAUGUGGCUAUAUGGGUGGAGGCGGGUGUAUAGGAAAUCUCCGUACCUUUGCUUUUGUUACAAACCUAAUAUUGCUUUUAAAAAGUUACUUCAAAGUGAAAAGUGAGAAUUGAGGGAGGAAAAAAAAUGCUUUCAGGAAUUCCCGUUGUGGCUCAGUGAUAAUGAACCUGACUAGUUUCCUUGAGGGCACGGAUUUGAUCCCUGGUCCCACUCAGUAGGUUAAGGGUCUGGCAUUGCCCUGAGCUGCGGUGUAGGUCGAAGACUCAGCUUGGAUCUGGCAUUCCUAUGGUGUAGCCCGGCCGCUGUAGCUCUGAUUCGACCCCUAGCUGGGGAACUUCCAUAUGCCACAGGUGCGGCUCCAAAAAUACAAAAAAAGUUAACAAUAAAAAAAGCUUUCACAUCAUUACAUAGAAAAGAGAAAACUCUUAAUCUCCACUCUGGUUCCACUGAGUACUUGUUGCUGUGGUGCUGUCUGACUUGGUUAUUAGUGGUCCAAGUGAAGCGUUGGUAGGAAAAACUCACUGGCUUAAUUUAAGUUUCAGCCACUCUGGCUCUUAGAGCUAUGAAUAGACUCACUCUUAUUUGUUUGGCCUUUGGGGGAAAAAUCACCUCUUAAAAGUAUGCUUUGUAAGAAGGGUACUAGAUUUCUCUUGAAAAUAACAUUUUAUGUACUAAAACUUUUAAGAACGAAAAAGUUGCUGAACAUAGAGCAAGCAAUUAAAAAAACUGAUCAAAUACAAUGUUAAUACUGAGAAUUGCUGAUACAAAGAAAUGUCAGAAACACUGACAUUACUCCCUUAAUUCUGUUGAGUUAUAUUGUGUAUGUUAAGUUGCACAGAGCUUAAAUGAAGCCCAUAAUGAAUUUUUAUAUAUUGUGUAAACUUCUUUCAGCACCACACAUAAGAAGGUCUAGCACAUUUCUAGCGCGAUAGAAGGCAUUCACCUUGCAGUCAGUGCUUACCCCCAGGGGAGCCAUUAUUCUGUUUUACCCCUUUUUGAAUUUCAUAUAAAUGAAAGAGAUGACAUGUAGGUUUUUGCACCUGACUUCUUUUUACUCAGCAUUACAUCUGUGAGAUUCGUCUAUAUUAUUGUGCGUAUCACUAGUUCAUCCUUUUUUAUCCAUGUGUAGGUUUCUAUUGCAGUUAUAUACCACAAUUGACAUAUUUUACUGUUGCUGGAUAAUCUUUUCCAGAGGGUGGCUAUUAUCUGAAUACUAUUUUAUAUAUCCUUUGGAGGACAAAAGCAUUCACGUUGUGUGUAUGAAAGUGUAUAUAGAUUUACUAAGUGCUGCCAAAAGUUUUUCUAAAGUCACUGUGCCAAUUAACAGUCCCACCAGUUACAGAGGGUUUUCUUCUUCCUCAGUUCUUCAUAUUCUUAAUUUUAGCCAUUCUGCUGGCUGUUACUGAUAUCUCAUUGUCAUUUGCAUUUUUCCGAUGAAUAAUUAUGCCGAGAAUUUUUUCAUAUAUUUAUUAUCCUAAACUUUUUUUUAAUGUAAGAUUUGGGAGUUCAGCUUAAAAUUUACUCAGGAAGCCUGGGUAUAGAGUAAGUUUCCUGGUAGUGAAAAAACAAAGGUGAGAGAAAGAGAACCACUGUUUACUUAGUGCCUAUCAUGUUGUGAGAACUUUACAUGUGCUAUUUCAAUUAAUUCGUUUAACAGCCAUAUGUAGUAGAUAUUUUCUAAUGAAUGAUAAAGUUUGCAUGUCGAUGAAUAGAAUUUACUCAAUUUUCUAUCCUCUUCUCUUCCUAUACUCUAAUUUUCCUUCACUCCCACAUAUAUUAGAAGUUAACGUUUUUCCAGACUUCUGAAGAAUUAUGGUUAUUUCCCUGGCUUCUUAAUGAUGCUUCCUUAACCCAUUAACAGUCUAACAUCAUGUUGUGUAGCCUUCUGUAUGCCUUUGGUGUUUCAGUUUUUAUGAUAAAUCAUUACCUUUAUGAUUUAAGGCACAUAAAAGUUAUUUCCAUUCCAAAAAAAAAAAAAAAA
RNAcentral lists this long non-coding RNA (7534 nucleotides) under Sus scrofa (pig). RNAcentral's name for it is "lncRNA (ENSSSCG00065030195.1)". The record is from RNAcentral. Lineage: Eukaryota; Metazoa; Chordata; Mammalia; Artiodactyla; Suidae.